This 111-nucleotide ribosomal RNA is filed under the name Propithecus coquereli (Coquerel's sifaka). The record is from RNAcentral. Lineage: Eukaryota; Metazoa; Chordata; Mammalia; Primates; Indriidae.
GUCUGCAGCCAUACCACCCUGAAUGUGUGCGAUCUUGUCUGAUCUCAGAAGCUAAGCAGGGGUGCACCUGGUUAGUACUUGGAUGGGAGAAGGAAAAGGAAUGUUUAAACA